RNAcentral lists this ribosomal RNA (117 nucleotides) under Paenibacillus suaedae. The record is from RNAcentral. Lineage: Bacteria; Bacillati; Bacillota; Bacilli; Caryophanales; Paenibacillaceae.
UUUGGUGGCGAUGGCGGAGGGGUUCCACGCGUACCCAUCCCGAACACGACCGUUAAGCCCUCCAGCGCCGAUGGUACUUGGACCGCAGGGUCCUGGGAGAGUAGGACGUCGCCAAGC